GACGAACGCUGGCGGCGUGCUUCAUACAUGCAAGUCGAACGAGAAGCUGACUUCGGUCAGUGGAAAGUGGCGGACGGGUGAGUAAUAUGUAGGAAAUCUGCCUUUAGGAGGGGGACAACAGAGGGAAACUUCUGCUAAUACCCCAUAUGAGCGUAGCUGAAAUGCUAUUCUUGAAAACUCCGGUGCCUAAAGAUGAGCCUGCAUCUGAUUAGCUAGUUGGUAGUGUAAUGGACUACCAAGGCGACGAUCAGUAGCUGGUGUGAGAGGAUGAUCAGCCACAAUGGGACUGAGACACGGCACACACUCCUGCGGGAGGCAGCAGUAGGGGAUUUUGCGCAAUGGGCGAAAGCCUGACGCAGCAACGCCGCGUGAACGAGUAAGCCCUUCGGGGUGUAAAGUUCUGUCAGUGGGGACGAAACUUGACGGUACCCACAGAGGAAGCACCGGCUAACUCCGUG
RNAcentral lists this ribosomal RNA (458 nucleotides) under uncultured bacterium. RNAcentral describes it as "partial 16S ribosomal RNA". It matches the Rfam family "Bacterial small subunit ribosomal RNA", at positions 28 to 507 of the family's 1533-position model. The record is from RNAcentral.